UCCCAAAGCCUUGGUGGCAGCUUCACGAAUAGGGAACUUAUCGUCUUUCAAGGCAUCUUUCAAAUGGUUAACAAGCGAUGGGAACAGUGGCGACUGGCAUAUCAUGGUUGAGCAAUGUACUGACAUGGAGGCUAAUGUGAGAAGGGAGCCGUGUCUGAUGAACCAGUUUGCCGUUGUACUUGAAUCAGACAGUGACUGCAGCAGAUCUG
RNAcentral lists this unclassified non-coding RNA (209 nucleotides) under Hevea brasiliensis (rubber tree). The record is from RNAcentral. Lineage: Eukaryota; Viridiplantae; Streptophyta; Magnoliopsida; Malpighiales; Euphorbiaceae.